CCUUCUGUGAUGCUGCUUGUAUGUGUGUAUGAGUGUGUGGGUGGGUGUGUCUUCGGCCACCGCACGCGCGAAUCCUCGCCCCCUUCCCCAUCUCGUGAUCAGAGGCAGUGUCGGUGCAACCGCCCCAGUCUCCCCUUCCUUUCCUCCACCCGCGACAAGCGCAAAGCAUCCGGUGAAAGUCACACGCGGGAAAGCGCACAUCAGAUAGAGGCCGAAUCAUAAACGGACGCGCGACUACCGCCGUGCCGCUGCCUUGCUCGUCAGUGCCUUACCUUCCGUGCGUGCGUGUUUGUCUUCAGAGUCGUAUGGCAAAGGCCAAAGGCAAGGGUGACCGCAGCAAGAGAAAAUCAAGGCAACCAUGACUUGCAGAGGGGGCCCACGCGUGACUCCGAAAGGUGAACUGCACCGGGCACCGUUACUGGUGGUCUAGGAGAGGUAAGCGAGUCUCUUCGACGGUCGAGGUGGAUCCAGCAAACGGGAAAAAAGUGCGCGAUCAACAGCGAAGGUGCCACGCGUAUCUGCCCUUCUCGAAUCAACGAACAAGUUUGCUCACUCUCCCCGUUGGUGUGAGUAGGUGUGCGGCAACAGAUCGAGGCCGCUCCAGUCCGCCUCUCGGACAGUCUCGGUGGAACCUUUCGGCGACACGCCCUGCUGCGUAGUUUGCUUUUUACUGCGCGUUCGUGUGUCUUGUAGGCCUGACCCUCUCUUCUCUCUUCCUAAG
This 721-nucleotide unclassified non-coding RNA is filed under the name Leishmania donovani. RNAcentral describes it as "gene:unknown". Lineage: Eukaryota; Euglenozoa; Kinetoplastea; Trypanosomatida; Trypanosomatidae. The record is from RNAcentral.